GUAGUCUCACAAGAUACCAGGAGUCAGGGAGUCAUCCCCUCCUCCCAAAAUAAAAGACACACUAGGUCCCUCCAGUCACACUAGGUUCCAGGAGUCACACUAGGUUCCAGGAGUCACACUAGGUCCCUCCAGUCACACUAGGUUCCAGCAGUCACACUAGGUCCCUCCAGUCACACUAGGUUCCAGGAGUCACACUAGGUCCCUCCAGUCACAC
Molecule: long non-coding RNA, 214 nt
Organism: Haliotis rufescens (red abalone)
Lineage: Eukaryota; Metazoa; Mollusca; Gastropoda; Lepetellida; Haliotidae
Exons: 3
Source: RefSeq, a predicted model, not a curated record